RNAcentral lists this unclassified non-coding RNA (522 nucleotides) under uncultured Glomeromycotina. Its description in RNAcentral is "bacterial SSU rRNA". It matches the Rfam family "Eukaryotic small subunit ribosomal RNA", at positions 569 to 1092 of the family's 1831-position model. The record is from RNAcentral. Lineage: Eukaryota; Fungi; Glomeromycota.
AGCAACCGCGGUAAUUCCAGCUCCAAUAGCGUAUAUUAAAGUUGUUGCAGUUAAAAAGCUCGUAGUUGAACUUCAGGCCUGUCCAGACGGUCCGCCUUAAUUGGUGUGUACUGUCCUUGGGUGGGUCCUACCUUCUGGCGAAGCGGCAUGGCCUUAAUUGGUUGUGUCGGGGAACCAGGACUUUUACUGUGAAAAAAUUAGAGUGUUCAAAGCAGGCAAAUAUGCUCGAAUACAUUAGCAUGGAAUAAUGGAAUAGGACGAUGGUUCUAUUUUGUUGGUUCUAGGACCGUUGUAAUGAUUAAUAGGGAUAGUUGGGGGCAUUAGUAUUCAAUUGUCAGAGGUGAAAUUCUUGGAUUUAUUGAAGACUAACUACUGCGAAAGCAUUUGCCAAGGAUGUUUUCAUUAAUCAAGAACGAAAGUUAGGGGAUCGAAGACGAUCAGAUACCGUCGUAGUCUUAACCAUAAACUAUGCCGACUAGGAAUCGGGCGAUGUUGACAAAAUGACUCGCUCGGCACCUCAUG